CAUCUGUUUGGGUUUAUAGCUUAAUGUUGUUAUGUAUUUAAUGAAUAAUAGUGUAAAUAUGCUUUUAGGCUUUCAUAGGUAUAAGCAAAUGAAAAAAAAGGCUAUGAUUCACUUUACAACAGUGAUCUGAAAUGUAAAAGCUACAAUAAUGAAAUAUGUCUGUACAAAUAUUUUACCUUGGCUCUAAUCAAAUAUGAGAUUUAUGGAGAGACUCAUGAUUGAACUUAACAGAAAUCUUAAACUCUUGCCUGACUGUGUAAGGUCUAUUUAUAGUCAACAAUACUUCUUGAUUAUACAAAUAAUUUACAUGAUAGUUGUAGGAUCUUAAUUAUCUAUGCUACCAUCAUAUGAGCGGCGCCUUAUGAGAGAGGGAGAAGGCGAUGUGAUGACGCCUUAUGAGAGAGGAAAGGUGGAGGGGCUGCGCCUUAUGAGAGGAGGAGAGAGAGAAGGCGAUGUUGGGAUGCCUUAUGAGAGAGGAGGAUAUGAAAAAUAUUUUUGAAAUAGGAUUAGAUAUGAAAAAAUCCAAAGGUACUAUUAUAGGAGCUAUUAAGACAAAUUCUGUUUCUAUUUUUGAAAUCCUUCUAUUGUAUUUCCUCCCAUUCAUUUUGCAUGUUGAGGUUAUGCACAAGAAUUAUUUUAGGCUCCAUCAUAAUAAGAGAGAAUUUCUUAGUCCCAUGGAGUAGAGCAUUUGAAUGGGAUAAGAUAUAGUCAUAAAUUAACAACUUACUGUUGCUUCUAGGAAUGUGACUGCAAAGACCUUGUGUUGACAUUUAAAUGUUUACCCAGUGUUACAACUCGUUGCAUAAAUACGAUUCUGU
RNAcentral lists this long non-coding RNA (818 nucleotides) under Androctonus crassicauda. Lineage: Eukaryota; Metazoa; Arthropoda; Arachnida; Scorpiones; Buthidae. The record is from RNAcentral.